Non-coding RNA from Oryza glaberrima (African rice), 168 nucleotides. The record is from Rfam. Lineage: Eukaryota; Viridiplantae; Streptophyta; Magnoliopsida; Poales; Poaceae.
GUCGGGAAGAGGAAGAAAGAGGGUCUAAGAAUGGUUGGAAUGGGAACAUGGAGGAAACCUAAACCUUUAGUUUCCAUCUCUGACAAUAGAGGUGGAAAUUUGGCUGAGUGUUUCCCAAUGCCUCCCAUUCCUAUUAUUCUUAAUCACUCCUUCCUCUUCCUUUUGACU